RNAcentral lists this long non-coding RNA (1249 nucleotides) under Homo sapiens (human). RNAcentral describes it as "HSALNT0393473". Lineage: Eukaryota; Metazoa; Chordata; Mammalia; Primates; Hominidae. The record is from RNAcentral.
AAGAGAAAGAAGACUGAAUUCAGUCUCUCUUGCAGAAAAAUUGUUUUCCGUCAAGUUGAUAAUAAUGAUCACACUGAGAAUGAAUGACUCAAGAUGAAUAUCCAAAGAUAUAUCAAAACCUGGUCAGCAGUCGUGGGGAAAGGAAGAAAGCCUGAGUUGAGUUUAUGAAAGUUUUCCACUAAAGUCAGCAACAGCUUAAAUUCAAACCAGGCACAAGACGCUUGAAUCUCCAUAUGAGUUGUUCAUCAAAGGGCUGAAAGAAAAGAAAUCUGAGCCCGAGCACGGUCUGGCCUAAAAGCUUUCAAGUGACUCCUUUCUGGUUUCCUGGGAAUUGGAUGCUGAGAUGAAAAGCAUAUGAGUAGCUUUCUUCCAGCAUUCUUCUUGGUGAUUAACCAACUAUCCAAGUACAAAGUUGCUCCUAAUUAACCCUGAGGACCCCAAUAUAAAGUUGCAAAUGAAAGAAGUCCUGCUACUCUAAAGAAUAACUAAACCAGACUGGAGUCACUGAAACUGAUGGAAGAACAUCUCAGGCAUGAGUGCCAUGGUGACGUCAUCAGCUCCGUUCACAACCACUCACCAUGAGGCCAUUGCUCCUGUGGAGGACACUGGCUUAGGACUCAUGAAGUAGUACCUCAGGAAGGUGUCUCUGUAAGUGUUCCUUCCACCAGCUCCAAGACACAAUGAGAUGGAGAGAACUGGAACAAUUCCCUAUGAUUGCAGCUGGAUAUUUUCACAUGAACUAUCUAGUAAUGAAGGCAAUGGCAUGUGGUGUGGCAAAGACUGGCCCCAGAUUACAUUUCCAGUCCUUUUGUACUGAGGAGGGGCUUUGGGACCAAGACAGUAGGAGUGAGGGUACAGGUUCCACAUUCUAUUUCUCUCUUAGUUUUCUGUGGUUAUCUUGGUGACUGCAUGGUAAAGAUGGAGGUGACAAAAGAUGGAAGGAGCCUGGAUCCCUGAAUGACUUCAUGGUGCAGAGCCUUACACUACCCCCAACUCAUACUAAAACAGGGGUGGGAGGAACAAUAGACCAUUAUUCUGUUAAGGUGCUGAAAUUGUAGAGCUGUUAAUUUGAACAGUUAGAGUUUCUUAUACUGAUACAGUAUCCUUACCCUGGAUUGUUGAAAUAAUUAGUCCAAAUAGUUUCUUUGCCUAAAACUGUGGACAGAGCCUAAGCAAUAUUGAAUCCAAGACAAGGUAUAUUUAUCAUCAAAUGCUACUCACUAUACAAUACAGAUGAAUGUGGCACUUA